AACGCGAAGAACCUUACCUGGGCUCGAAAUGUAGAGGAAGUUGCAAGAAAUUGUAAUGUCCGCAAGGACUUCUAUAUAGGUGCUGCAUGGCUGUCGUCAGCUCGUGCCGUGAGGUGUUUGGUUAAGUCCAGCAACGAGCGCAACCCUUAUCGUUAUUUACCAGCACGUAAUGGUGGGAACUAUAGCGAGACUGCCGAGGUUAACUCGGAGGAAGGUGAGGAUGACGUCAAGUCCGCAUGGCCUUUAUGUCCAGGGCUACACACGUGCUACAAUGGUCGAUACAGAGGGAAGCAAAACCGUGAGGUCAAGCUAAUCCCAGAAAAUCGAUCUCAGUUCAGAUUGCAGUCUGCAACUCGACUGCAUGAAGUUGGAAUUGCUAGUAAUGGCGCGUCAGCAACAGCGCCGUGAAUACGUUCCCGGGCCUUGUACACACCGAGACGUA
RNAcentral lists this ribosomal RNA (442 nucleotides) under uncultured bacterium. RNAcentral describes it as "bacterial SSU rRNA". It matches the Rfam family "Bacterial small subunit ribosomal RNA", at positions 958 to 1398 of the family's 1533-position model. The record is from RNAcentral.